RNAcentral lists this ribosomal RNA (1365 nucleotides) under Triticum aestivum (bread wheat). RNAcentral describes it as "partial small subunit ribosomal RNA". Lineage: Eukaryota; Viridiplantae; Streptophyta; Magnoliopsida; Poales; Poaceae. The record is from RNAcentral.
AUGGACUUUGAGCUCCAUUUGAUUAAGAGUAUUACAAACAAUUUUUCGAAGAACCAAGAAGUUGGGAGCGGUGCAUAUGGAGCUGUUUACAGGGCGGUGCAUAACGGGGAAGAGAUUGCUGUGAAGAGGCUUCAUGCCUUGCAAGGACUUGAUGAUAAGGAAUUCGAUAAUGAAUUCCGUAAUUUUACAAAGAUCUUUCACAAAAACGUUGUAAGGUUAAUUGGUUACUGCUAUGAAUCACAAGAAAAAUUCGUUGAGCACAAUGGGGACCUAAUUCGUGCUAAAGCUAUGGAGCGAGUUCUUUGCUUCGAAUAUAUGCAGCGUGGAAGCCUUGAGAAAUAUAUUGGAGAUAAACCUUGUGAACUUGAUUGGACAACAUGUUAUGAAAUUAUUAAAGGGACAUGUGAGGGUUUAAAUCAUCUUCACAUGCAGAAAAAACAUAUUUUCCAUCUGGACAUGAAACCUGCUAACAUAUUGCUAGAUAAUAGCAUGGCUCCCAAAAUUGCAGAUCUUGGUUUAUCCAAGCUUGUUUCUUCCACAAUAACAUAUAAAGCAGAGGUGAAAAAAGGAACAUAUGGGUACAUGCCACCAGAGUACAUAAACAAUGGAUUCAUAUCUGAGAAGUUUGAUGUGUUCAGUCUGGGGGUCAUAAUUAUAAAAAUGAUGGCUGGGAAUACAGGCCAUGUCAGCUGUUUUGAAAUGUCCCCAAAAGAGUUCAUUGAGCUUGUAAGUAAAACUUGGAAGGAGAAGAUGCAGGCAGUGUCAGGGUAUUCAUCUCACGAGAUAUACAUCCUUCAAGUGCGCAGAUGCAUUGAGAUAGCAUUGCGAUGUAUAUGCAAGGAUCGAAAAGAAAGACCUAAUAUAGAGAAAAUUGUUCAUGAACUGGAGGAACUGGAGGUUGAGACCAAUAAAAUUGCACUACCUUUUGAUCGGUCAAAAGACCUAAUUCUGAAGAGAAGUUGUGCCACCAAUGAUGUGGCGGUGGAACCAGCGUUCGAGUUGCGCUUCCUCUUCGAGCCGAGGAAGGAGGUGUCGUGCUGCCUGCAGCUCACCAACAAGACGGAUGGUUUCCUCGCGUUCAACAUAAAGGUCAACAAGAACAAGUACCGCGCACAGCCCAGCAUUGGCACAAUGCCUCCGUGCUCCAAGUGUUAUGUCAUCGUGACGCUGCGUCCGCAGGGGGCGGCACCACCCAACAUGCAGUGUCACGACAUGCUGCUCGUGCAGAGCAUCAGCAUCAGCGAGCAACUGGCAUCAGAAGAUACUCAAAUUUCUUAUCAAGAAGUGUUCAAGACAACCUUAGCGGAGAAGGUGGUAGAUGAGGUGAAACUGCCAAUUGUUUAUGUUCCUUUAUUGGAUGGAUAA